Zingiber officinale is the source of this 1645-nucleotide long non-coding RNA. RefSeq lists it as uncharacterized. The record is from RefSeq and is a predicted model, not a curated record. Lineage: Eukaryota; Viridiplantae; Streptophyta; Magnoliopsida; Zingiberales; Zingiberaceae. The transcript is spliced from 4 exons.
AUGCGUGUGAUUGGCUGAGGAACAGGCGAAGCCCUCGAUCACGUUGCGACCGGAGAAGCAGCGGCGCAGGCGGCGAUGGGGAUUAGUGAUAGCCUUUGUGUUGAUAAUCCACGACCUUUUCCGCAUUCUUUACUCAUAAUCUGUUGUUUUUUUCAGUGUUUUUGUCGGAUUUUUUAGAUCUUUGGAAGCUAAAAACCCUCACUUUCUUCCGAAGUUUGUCUAAUCGUCUUGUCGAUUUUUGAUCCUUUGCGUAAUGUAGAUUGGUUGAGGAGCAGGCAAAACCCUUGAUCGUGUUGCAGCUAGAGGAAGCAACAGCGAAAGUGGUGAAGGCGAUCAACGAUCGCCUUUGAGUUGUUUGUCUCCUUUUGAGGCAUUUUUUUGUGCAACAUGAAAUUCAAAAAGGGGAUUCUGCUAUCAUUGCGAUUGACUCUCGUUCUUUGUGUUGCUAUUGGCUGAGGAGCAGGUGAAGCCAUCGAUCGUAUUGUGGCUGGAAGAGCAGCGACGCAAACGGCGAUGGUGAGCAGCGACGCAAACGGCGAUGGUGAGCAGCGACGCAAGCGGCGAUGGCGAUCAGCGCCAUUGUGUUGGUAAAUCCACAACUUUUUCCGCAUUCUUUACUCAAAUAUUUACUGCUUUUUUCAGUUUGCUUAGAUCUCUGGAAGCUAAAACCCCUCAGUUUCUUCCAAAUUUUGUCCCCUUUGAGGCAUUUUUAUGCAACAGGAAGCUCAAAUGGGGAUUCUGCUAUCGUUGGGAUUGACUCUUGUUCUUUGUGAUGCUGUAAAAUAUCGUCUUGUCGAUUUUUGAUCCUCUGUGUAAUGUAGAUUUGUAGAUUGCUGAAAUCACUAGAAUAUGCCUGGCCGAUCGCGAUGGUGAUGACUGGGAAGGGAAGUUGUUCUUCCCUGGCAUCCCCAAGAUUAAGUGUUAGCAUCAGUAUCAAUUCCACUCUAGGUCGUAGGUGUUGCUACAGGGACAUUAGAUAUUCAUCCCUCUAGUGCUUUUCUUGAUCCUCCACCUCGAACUAGUCAAAGUCAUUUUAUUGGAUCACCAUUAUUCAAGUCAUCCUUGAGUUGACCAACCCGUCGAGUUAGUCCAAGCGGCUGAGCUAGCCUGAGCUGUUGAAUUGUGUUACCCGGACAAAAGUGUCUCCAACACUCAUAAUCUAUAAUUGGCUGUGUGGGUUUGGAAGUGUGAGGUUAUAUAAAUAGCACAAAUAAUAGUGAAAAAGAAUAUAUCUUUUACACUAAUCCAAAUCUAACUUUCUUCAUCUUAAUUUUUUUUAAAAAUCUUUUUCCUUGGAUCCCCUGCGAUUACUCAAGCAUUGGAGGGAUGUCAUCGGGGCAACUUUAGUUGUUAGUUCAACAUUUAUAUGCGGUGCGGUGAUAGCCCCGUCUCAUCAUACGUAUGAGGGUCCAUCGAACAAAAAUCCUCUUUCUUUUAGGAGGUGAUUCUUGGGAAGAAAAUGAAGGGGAUUGAUAUCCAGCGUGCCACAUUGCCGCACGAUUUAUCGAAUCCACACUGUUUGGAUCAACACCGACGAUUCUCUCCUACAAUAUUUUUUUUUAUAUAGCAGAUGUCUUUUGUAUCUCUGAUCUCUUUAGAGUUUGUGUAUUUUAUUGUAGCACAAUACAAGGGUUUGAUUCACUCA